RNAcentral lists this ribosomal RNA (261 nucleotides) under uncultured archaeon. RNAcentral's name for it is "partial 16S ribosomal RNA". It matches the Rfam family "Archaeal small subunit ribosomal RNA", at positions 748 to 1008 of the family's 1478-position model. The record is from RNAcentral.
CAGCCGUAAACUAUGCGCGUUAGGUGUAUCGGUGACCACGAGUUACCGAAGUGCCGAAGGGAAACCGUGAAACGUGCCGCCUGGGAAGUACGGUCGCAAGGCUGAAACUUAAAGGAAUUGGCGGGGGAGCACCACAACAGGUGGAGCCUGCGGUUUAAUUGGACUCAACGCCGGGAAGCUCACCGGAUAGGACAGCAGAAUGAUUGCCGGGCUGAAGACCCUGCAUGACAAGCUGAGAGGUGGUGCAUGGCGUGUGACUGU